Molecule: ribosomal RNA, 1352 nt
Filed under: uncultured bacterium
Lineage: Bacteria
Description: bacterial SSU rRNA
Rfam family: Bacterial small subunit ribosomal RNA
Source: RNAcentral
AUUGAACGCUGGCGGCAUGCCUUACACAUGCAAGUCGAACGGCAGCACGGAGCUUGCUCUGGUGGCGAGUGGCGAACGGGUGAGUAAUAUAUCGGAACGUACCCUGGAGUGGGGGAUAACGUAGCGAAAGUUACGCUAAUACCGCAUACGAUCUACGGAUGAAAGUGGGGGAUCGCAAGACCUCAUGCUCGUGGAGCGGCCGAUAUCUGAUUAGCUAGUUGGUAGGGUAAAAGCCUACCAAGGCAUCGAUCAGUAGCUGGUCUGAGAGGACGACCAGCCACACUGGAACUGAGACACGGUCCAGACUCCUACGGGAGGCAGCAGUGGGGAAUUUUGGACAAUGGGCGAAAGCCUGAUCCAGCAAUGCCGCGUGAGUGAAGAAGGCCUUCGGGUUGUAAAGCUCUUUUGUCAGGGAAGAAACGGUGAGGGCUAAUAUCCCUUGCUAAUGACGGUACCUGAAGAAUAAGCACCGGCUAACUACGUGCCAGCAGCCGCGGUAAUACGUAGGGUGCAAGCGUUAAUCGGAAUUACUGGGCGUAAAGCGUGCGCAGGCGGUUUUGUAAGUCUGAUGUGAAAUCCCCGGGCUCAACCUGGGAAUUGCAUUGGAGACUGCAAGGCUAGAAUCUGGCAGAGGGGGGUAGAAUUCCACGUGUAGCAGUGAAAUGCGUAGAUAUGUGGAGGAACACCGAUGGCGAAGGCAGCCCCCUGGGUCAAGAUUGACGCUCAUGCACGAAAGCGUGGGGAGCAAACAGGAUUAGAUACCCUGGUAGUCCACGCCCUAAACGAUGUCUACUAGUUGUCGGGUCUUAAUUGACUUGGUAACGCAGCUAACGCGUGAAGUAGACCGCCUGGGGAGUACGGUCGCAAGAUUAAAACUCAAAGGAAUUGACGGGGACCCGCACAAGCGGUGGAUGAUGUGGAUUAAUUCGAUGCAACGCGAAAAACCUUACCUACCCUUGACAUGGCUGGAAUCCUCGAGAGAUCGGGGAGUGCUCGAAAGAGAACCAGUACACAGGUGCUGCAUGGCUGUCGUCAGCUCGUGUCGUGAGAUGUUGGGUUAAGUCCCGCAACGAGCGCAACCCUUGUCAUUAGUUGCUACGAAAGGGCACUCUAAUGAGACUGCCGGUGACAAACCGGAGGAAGGUGGGGAUGACGUCAAGUCCUCAUGGCCCUUAUGGGUAGGGCUUCACACGUCAUACAAUGGUACAUACAGAGCGCCGCCAACCCGCGAGGGGGAGCUAAUCGCAGAAAGUGUAUCGUAGUCCGGAUUGUAGUCUGCAACUCGACUGCAUGAAGUUGGAAUCGCUAGUAAUCGCGGAUCAGCAUGUCGCGGUGAAUACGUUCCCGGGUCU